AUUAUUUUAAAUGUAAAUUUAAAUUCUAAAUUAGUAUUAGUUAUGUUCUUGAAAUUUAAAAAAUUUGGCGGUAUUUUAGUCUAUUUAGAGGAACCUGUUCUGUAAUUGAUAAUCCACGAUUAAUUUUACUUAAUUUAAAGGUUUGUAUAUCGUUGUUUUUAAAAAUUUUUGAAGAAUAAUAAUUUUUAAUUUUUUUUAUAAAAAUUUAUUUCAAAUCAAGGUGCAGUUUAUAGUUAAGAAGAAAUGGGUUACAAUAAAUUUAUUUAUGUGGAUUAAUAUAUUAAAUAUAUAUUAUGAAAUUGGAUUUAAUAGUAAUUAAUUUAAUUUAAAAUUAAUGAUUAUAGCUCUAAAAUAUGU
This 357-nucleotide ribosomal RNA is filed under the name Peltodytes rotundatus. RNAcentral describes it as "partial 12S ribosomal RNA". Lineage: Eukaryota; Metazoa; Arthropoda; Insecta; Coleoptera; Haliplidae. RNAcentral also lists the same sequence under 1 other name. The record is from RNAcentral.